Non-coding RNA from Epinephelus fuscoguttatus (brown-marbled grouper), 722 nucleotides. NCBI's taxonomy places the organism in Eukaryota, Metazoa, Chordata, Actinopteri, Perciformes, Serranidae. The record is from the annotation of a RefSeq genome assembly.
UACCAGAUUGCAGUGUAUGCUAAUUGUUCAUUUGAUAUGGAAAUAAUUCUAAAUUAUUUUUGUUAUUUCUCAUCGAUGCACAUUUGUUGAUUUAAGUUUCCAGGAUGCCUCCAGUUUUAUACACAUUUGGAUUUUUACUACUCGGUCUUACAAGAAAAGUGCAAAGUGUUACAUUCCAACAGUCCUCUCCUCAAGUUGUAAAGGAAGGGACUGUGGAGCUCACGAUAAACUGCAAUCAUGAUGGCAGCAGCCUCAACACUAUGCUGUGGUACCAACACAAACAGAGCAGUCGCUCUAUGAGCCUCAUCGGGUACGUAGUCCGCCAGGGUGAUCCAGUCUACGAGGACCAGUUUAAAGACUCCAGAUUCAAGAUGAAAGGAGAAGACACAGGGAAAGGAUCUCUGAUCAUUCAAACAGUGACUCCAUCAGACUCAGCUGUGUAUUUCUGCGCUGCCAGCACACAGUGAUGUGGUUUAAUGUCACCCCCUCACUAAAAACCCUGCUGCGUCUUUUAACAGCUGCUGUUCAGGAGUUCAGUUAUUUGAGAACUGAAGAUAUGAUGCUGUUUUAUUCUAUUUUCAUUAUAUGAUGAUGUAACUGAACAGGUUCUGCUAAUGUAAAUGUAUUCAGUGCAAACAAUACACAUAUUGAUUAUGUUUAUAUUAUAAUCAGUAAUCAAAAUGUAAUCAUGUAGGCCUAUGAGCAGUGUUGGACUCAGCACA